RNAcentral lists this ribosomal RNA (468 nucleotides) under uncultured bacterium. RNAcentral describes it as "partial 16S ribosomal RNA". It matches the Rfam family "Bacterial small subunit ribosomal RNA", at positions 28 to 507 of the family's 1533-position model. The record is from RNAcentral.
GACGAACGCUGGCGGCGUGCUUAACACAUGCAAGUCGAACGGAAAGGCCCUGCUUUUGUGGGGUGCUCGAGUGGCGAACGGGUGAGUAACACGUGAGUAACCUGCCCUUGACUUUGGGAUAACUUCAGGAAACUUGGGCUAAUACCGGAUAGGAGCUCCUGCUGCAUGGUGGGGGUUGGAAAGUUUCGGCGGUUGGGGAUGGACUCGCGGCUUAUCAGCUUGUUGGUGGGGUAGUGGCUUACCAAGGCUUUGACGGGUAGCCGGCCUGAGAGGGUGACCGGCCACAUUGGGACUGAGAUACGGCCCAGACUCCUACGGGAGGCAGCAGUGGAGAAUAUUGCACAAUGGGAGGAAGCCUGAUGCAGCAACGCCGCGUGCGGGAUGACGGCCUUCGGGUUGUAAACCGCUUUCGCCUGUGACGAAGCGUGAGUGACGGUAAUGGGUAAAGAAGCACCGGCUAACUACGUG